This 608-nucleotide ribosomal RNA is filed under the name uncultured Clonostachys. RNAcentral describes it as "eukaryotic LSU rRNA". The stretch from base 227 to 380 matches the Rfam family "5.8S ribosomal RNA". Lineage: Eukaryota; Fungi; Ascomycota; Sordariomycetes; Hypocreales; Bionectriaceae. The record is from RNAcentral.
UCUUGGUCAUUUAGAGGAAGUAAAAGUCGUAACAAGGUCUCCGUUGGUGAACCAGCGGAGGGAUCAUUACCGAGUUUACAACUCCCAAACCCAUGUGAACAUACCUACUGUUGCUUCGGCGGGAUUGCCCCGGGCGCCUCGUGUGCCCCGGAUCAGGCGCCCGCCUAGGAAACUCAACUCUUGUUUUAUUUUGGAAUCUUCUGAGUAGUUUUUACAAAUAAAUAAAAACUUUCAACAACGGAUCUCUUGGUUCUGGCAUCGAUGAAGAACGCAGCGAAAUGCGAUAAGUAAUGUGAAUUGCAGAAUUCAGUGAAUCAUCGAAUCUUUGAACGCACAUUGCGCCCGCCAGUAUUCUGGCGGGCAUGCCUGUCUGAGCGUCAUUUCAACCCUCAUGCCCCUAGGGCGUGGUGUUGGGGAUCGGCCAAAGCCCGCGAGGGACGGCCGGCCCCUAAAUCUAGUGGCGGACCCGUCGUGGCCCCCUCUGCGAAGUAGUGAUAUUCCGCAUCGGAGAGCGACGAGCCCCUGCCGUUAAACCCCCAACUUUCCAAGGUUGACCUCAGAUCAGGUAGGAAUACCCGCUGAACUUAAGCAUAUCAAUAAGCGGAGGA